GUCAUACUGCUUCAUUCUGUUGGUUACACAGGGCUAGCCCACAUUUGGUGCAGGAAGAGGGUACUCAGUGGUAUGAAUACACAGAAUUAUGAUUCAUCGGGGGCCAUCUUGGUGACUAGAUACCAAAGACCAUAUGAGACCAGGAUGAAUUCCUAUCUAAGGUCCUUGAAGGUAAGGAUUAGGUCUCUAAUGGACUAAGACCCAAAGACUACAUUUGAACUGGGGACCUCGUCAAGACCUGGCCACAUCCAUCCAUCAUCCUCAGUGAAUGUCCUCAGAAUAUAAGCAGCAGGGAACCGAAGGUGAAUGCGUAUGUUCCACGCAGGUAGGAUGGCAAGGAGAAGCUGCCCGUGAGAGUGAUAUCUACAAAGCAUGCAUUUCAGUGCCUCUGAGGAGCCCCAAAUUUCCUGAGUCAGCUCUGAAGAAAAGGAAGAAGUGGCCAAAUUUCAUUCACUGUUAUAGCCCCCCUUUUCUUCCUUCCUUACAUGAGAGGAGAGCAUUGAAAGACAGGCCUACCUUCUCAGAAAAGAAGCAUAAGCAGACACCCAAAGGUGCCCUCUUUCAUAGGUGGAUGGAUUCAGUAAGCUGACAUCCAGGUAUCUCCAAGACCAUGGCCAGAAGCUGGCCUCUGAGGUGGACGGGGGCCAGACAAAUUGCAGGUGACUUUCUCAGUGGACACGAAGGGGUUUCCCCUCCUCUCUCCUGGCUUGAUUGAAAAAAUUAAAGUUGAUCUGUGGUAAG
Molecule: long non-coding RNA, 741 nt
Organism: Tupaia belangeri chinensis (Chinese tree shrew)
Lineage: Eukaryota; Metazoa; Chordata; Mammalia; Scandentia; Tupaiidae
Exons: 3
Source: RefSeq, a predicted model, not a curated record